ACCAGUGUGCUGUAGUGGUUUGAAAGUUGGACUAGGAAUUCAGGGGACCAGAGUUCAAAUCCCUGUUCAGCCA
Phrynosoma platyrhinos (Desert horned lizard) is the source of this 73-nucleotide non-coding RNA. The record is from the annotation of a GenBank genome assembly. Lineage: Eukaryota; Metazoa; Chordata; Lepidosauria; Squamata; Phrynosomatidae.